Molecule: ribosomal RNA, 468 nt
Filed under: uncultured bacterium
Lineage: Bacteria
Description: partial 16S ribosomal RNA
Rfam family: Bacterial small subunit ribosomal RNA
Source: RNAcentral
GACGAACGCUGGCGGCGUGCUUAACACAUGCAAGUCGAACGGAAAGGCCCUGCUUUUGUGGGUUGCUCGAGUGGCGAACGGGUGAGUAACACGUGAGUAACCUGCCCUUGACUUUGGGAUAACUUCAGGAAACUGGGGCUAAUACCGGAUAGGAGCUCCUGCUGCAUGGUGGGGGUUGGAAAGUUUCGGCGGUUGGGGAUGGACUCGCGGCUUAUCAGCUUGUUGGUGGGGUAGUGGCUUACCAAGGCUUUGACGGGUAGCCGGCCUGAGAGGGUGACCGGCCACAUUGGGACUGAGAUACGGCCCAGACUCCUACGGGAGGCAGCAGUGGGGAAUAUUGCACAAUGGGCGGAAGCCUGAUGCAGCAACGCCGCGUGCGGGAUGACGACCUUCGGGUUGUAAACCGCUUUCGCCUGUGACGAAGCGUGAGUGACGGUAAUGGGUAAAGAAGCACCGGCUAACUACGUG